ACGAACGCUGGCGGCGUGCUUAACACAUGCAAGUCGAACGGAGAUAGUUUGAAACUUGCUGAUAACUAUCUUAGUGGCGCACGGGUGAGUAACACGUGGGCAACCUGCCCGGAAGACUGGGAUAACACCUCGAAAGGGGUGCUAAUACCGGAUACCUUCACGAAGUCGCAUGACUUUGUGCAGAAAGAAAUUCGCUUCCGGAUGGGCCCGCGUCCCAUUAGCUAGUUGGUGAGGUAACGGCUCACCAAGGCGACGAUGGGUAGCUG
Molecule: ribosomal RNA, 266 nt
Filed under: uncultured bacterium
Lineage: Bacteria
Description: partial 16S ribosomal RNA
Rfam family: Bacterial small subunit ribosomal RNA
Source: RNAcentral